CGUUUCGCAGCUGUUAGAUUUGUGACACGGAUACGUACAGUUUUUGGCGAACUCGAUUGAUUUUUAGAUUUAGAGAGCGCGUAACUGCAAAUUCUCGCGAAUAAACGCAUGUAUCAUUUUUGUAUAUCUAUAGCGUUGAAUUUCGUAUCCCAGAUACCAUUGAAAUUCGAUAUUCUGUGUUCUAUCGAUGCGCAUGCAUCGUGCGUGUCAGUUUUAAUCCCCGGUAGUUACCUAAUAAUAUGUGAUAUACCGCUAAAAAAUUUUGCCGUCAACUUUCUCCCGUUCGUGGCUUUUGAUGAACUUCCCUCAAAUAUUUUACCCUGAAUCUAGCAAAUUCACGUUGAAUAUGAUUACGGAUGAAGAGAGAGGAGAUUCUGUGGUAUUACCAGCACAUAGAGCUUGUCAUAGAGGUCGGUCGAACCCAACAUCAUAAUUAGUUAUUUGAAGUGGAGACACCUAUGUAAUUAAUCAAUAAAUUGGAUAAGGAAUUGGAUACGGAUUAAGAUACGGAAUAUGUGGAUACUAUAAAAUUGUUUUGAAUUUUAAUAGAUUAUUUAAAAUAUCUUUAAUAUAUUACAAUUAUAUAAUUAAAUAUUGUCAGAACA
Long non-coding RNA from Pogonomyrmex barbatus (red harvester ant), 605 nucleotides. The record is from RefSeq and is a predicted model, not a curated record. NCBI's taxonomy places the organism in Eukaryota, Metazoa, Arthropoda, Insecta, Hymenoptera, Formicidae.